GGGUUAGGAAAAUUAUACGUUUUAUUAGUUGCAUAAUAUUAAAUUAUAUAUAAAUAAAAAUGUUUAAAUGGUUACCUACCUAUUGUUUUGAACUUAAAUGUCAUUAUGGUCAUGAAUCUUAUAAAAAAAUUUAAAAGCAAAAACAAAAACGUUUAAAAAUUAAACAAACUUUCAAAAUAGUUAAAGAAUGGUUUAACUUAGCUUGUAAAAGUAGUAAUUUACCUUGGUAAUUUACAACUAACAGGCACUCUAAAUGGCGGGCAAAGUUUUAGGUGGAAAAAACUGGUUCAUAGUAAGGACCAUUGGAUAACCUUGCCAUUGGAUAGGUGAUAGAUAGGUGUAUUCUCAAAUAAAGUUUGGAUACUAAAUCAAGACUGCGAUAGGAUUUUAUAUCAAGUAUAUGGAGCUGAUCAUGAUAGUGAUUUAAACAAACAAUAUUGUAAUGAGCUGUUAAGCAACUAUCUUCAUCUAGAUGUUGAUUUAUCAGAACAUUAUCCAAAAUGGAACAAUCGAGAUCCACAUUUCAAAGAAGCUGCUAAGCAAUUAUACGGUAUCAGAAUAUUAAGACAAGAUCCCACUGAAAAUAUAUUUUCUUUUGUUUGUUCACAACUUUGGUUCACAAAAUAACCACAUUUCUAGGUAUUUCUAGGUAAAAAGGAGACAAUUAAAACAAAAAUCUAUUUAAGUUUUAAACAUUGUAAUAUGAAAUAGAAAUUAAAAAAGUUGAAACAUAAAAACUGUGAUGCAAAUAAGAAAAAACCAGGCGUUUCACUGGCUAGAGUCAACUAGAGUCAGGCAAUAAUGCGAUAAGGCAUAAGGUUGAUAUCACGUUGAUAUAAAAAAAUUAAACAUCUAUUUUUGUAGAGGUAAAAACAAGGUUAAACAAUAAAUAAGAAAAAUCAUUGUAAAACUUAUGUACUCAUUGUUUACCUCAUGAUAGAUACAAAAUUGGAGUCAUUUUCUAUGGACACAAGGAAGGAGAUAAAAUAUUACAUAAUAUGUUUACAAAAUUCACUGGAAUCAUCUCCGAAUUAUUUGUAUUUGCAAAUCGAAUGAUGGACCAUCAAGCAGGACUCCAUAAUUAUUGAAGGUUGUCUAAUGAAUUUAUUCAUGGAAUAAGAAACAGACGAAGGACAAUGAUUGGCUAAGGAUAUUAAUUCAAACAGCAGAAGAUAUUAUAGCUGAAACAGCCAUAGCUGAACAACAAAGAUUUGAAUCUAUGAAACGCAAGUGAGUUGAUCAAUCGGACCUGUUCUUACCUUCGAACGCCACUGCAAUACCCAUAACUACCAGGGCUUCAACACCAGCUGGUUUUUGUUUACUUUAAUAUAUUUUCUUAUAAAAUAUUUAGUAUUUUUAUAUGACAUUAUAUUAAACACAAUUACAUUUA
Molecule: long non-coding RNA, 1390 nt
Filed under: Sitophilus oryzae (rice weevil)
Lineage: Eukaryota; Metazoa; Arthropoda; Insecta; Coleoptera; Curculionidae
Description: uncharacterized LOC115884881, transcript variant X1
Source: RNAcentral